This 484-nucleotide ribosomal RNA is filed under the name uncultured bacterium. RNAcentral's name for it is "partial 16S ribosomal RNA". It matches the Rfam family "Bacterial small subunit ribosomal RNA", at positions 30 to 507 of the family's 1533-position model. The record is from RNAcentral.
AUUGAUCGCUAGCGGGAUGCUUUACACAUGCAAGUCGAACGGCAGCGCGGACUUCGGUCUGGCGGCGAGUGGCGAACGGGUGAGUAAUGUAUCGGAACGUGCCCAGUAGCGGGGGAUAACUACGCGAAAGCGUAGCUAAUACCGCAUACGCCCUACGGGGGAAAGCAGGGGAUCGUAAGACCUUGCACUAUUGGAGCGGCCGAUAUCGGAUUAGCUAGUUGGUGAGGUAACGGCUCACCAAGGCGACGAUCCGUAGCUGGUUUGAGAGGACGACCAGCCACACUGGGACUGAGACACGGCCCAGACUCCUACGGGAGGCAGCAGUGGGGAAUUUUGGACAAUGGGGGCAACCCUGAUCCAGCCAUCCCGCGUGUGCGAUGAAGGCCUUCGGGUUGUAAAGCACUUUUGGCAGGAAAGAAACGUCGCGGGCUAAUACCCCGUGGAACUGACGGUACCUGCAGAAUAAGCACCGGCUAACUACGUG